RNAcentral lists this ribosomal RNA (467 nucleotides) under uncultured bacterium. RNAcentral's name for it is "partial 16S ribosomal RNA". It matches the Rfam family "Bacterial small subunit ribosomal RNA", at positions 28 to 506 of the family's 1533-position model. The record is from RNAcentral.
GACGAACGCUGGCGGCGUGCUUAACACAUGCAAGUCGAACGGAAAGGCCCUGCUUUUGUGGGGUGCUCGAGUGGCGAACGGGUGAGUAACACGUGAGUAACCUGCCCUUGACUUUGGGAUAACUUCAGGAAACUGGGGCUAAUACCGGAUAGGAGCUCCUGCUGCAUGGUGGGGGUUGGAAAGUUUCGGCGGUUGGGGAUGGACUCGCGGCUUAUCAGCUUGUUGGUGGGGUAGUGGCUUACCAAGGCUUUGACGGGUAGCCGGCCUGAGAGGGUGACCGGCCACAUUGGGACUGAGAUACGGCCCAGACUCCUACGGGAGGCAGCAGUGGGGAAUAUGGCACAAUGGGCGGAAGCCUGAUGCAGCAACGCCGCGUGCGGGAUGACGGCCUUCGGGUUGUAAACCGCUUUCGCCUGUGACGAAGCGUGAGUGACGGUAAUGGGGAAAGAAGCACCGGCUAACUACGG